Molecule: ribosomal RNA, 494 nt
Filed under: uncultured bacterium
Lineage: Bacteria
Description: partial 16S ribosomal RNA
Rfam family: Bacterial small subunit ribosomal RNA
Source: RNAcentral
GACGAACGCUGGCGGCGCGCUUAACACAUGCAAGUCGAACGGAAAGGCCUGCUUUCCCUUGUGGAUUGCGGGUACUCGAGUGGCGAACGGGUGAGUAACACGUGAGUGAUCUGCCCCCAACUUGGGUAUAAGCCUGGGAAACUGGGUCUAAUUCCCGAUAGGACUGCAGGGUGGUGCCUGUGGUGGAAAACGAUUUUCUAGUGGUUGGGGAUGAGCUCGCGGCCUAUCAGCUUGUUGGUGGGGUAAUGGCCUACCAAGGCGGCGACGGGUAGCCGGCCUGGGAGGGUGGACGGCCACAUUGGGACUGAGAUACGGCCCAGACUCCUACGGGAGGCAGCAGUGUGGAAUAUUGCACAAUGGGCGGAAGCCUGAUGCAGCGACGCCGCGUGGGGGAUGACGGCCUUCGGGUUGUAAACUCCUUCCGACCGCGAGGAAGCCACCUGGUUGGAAGGGUGGUGACGGUAGUGGUAGAAGAAGCACCGGCUAACUACGUG